Molecule: long non-coding RNA, 755 nt
Organism: Macrobrachium nipponense
Lineage: Eukaryota; Metazoa; Arthropoda; Malacostraca; Decapoda; Palaemonidae
Exons: 3
Source: RefSeq, a predicted model, not a curated record
CUUUGAUGUUAGACUUUCGUUGUGUGCAGGUGUCCUUGUCAAGCUAUUCGAACAAGGUAGGGAAUAUCUACCUGUUGAAGGGAUUGAAAAGCCGGUUGCAGGGACAAGGACAAUCCUAACCUGUCCGAAAAGGCUUCGGAUUCUGUGACGUCAGUUUGUACAGGGAUUCAAGAUGAAUCCUAUUAUGCCCACGUUUUGAGAGAUGCAUUUAAAGAAUUUAAACAGAGAUUGAUCCUAUGAUACAACCGAGAGAGAGAGAGAGAAAAUCAACCCAACCCAGAGAAAGAGCAAAUGUUACAAGGAGUUACAAGGAUUAGGAUGUCGCCAAAGUCUUAUUACUCCAUCCGAGGAGACAUCGUGUGUUCACUAGAGAGAAGUAACCCAACCCAAAGAGAGAGUAUCAAGAGAAUAUCAAGGAGGAACACGGGUGAUAAAUCAAGAGAACGAGGAGAGGCAAGAGGAUCGCCGGUAACCUUCAAAACCUAAAGAAAGAUGUCGGUAAUCCAGGCCAGUUAAUAAAAAAUGUUCUGGACGCCUCUAUAAAAUUUUUAAAUUUUGUUUUUUGUUUUUGUUUGGGGGGUGGUGUGGGCUACUGGCGGGGAUGUCCGGGCGGGGAUGUCCGGGCUGAAGAGUUGUGGAAUAGGCCCCCUAAAUUUGGUAUUGUAAAUGCUACUCUUGAUGUAAUUGUGUAUGUAUUUCUCUUAUGUAAUUCUCUGCAUUUGUAAUGCUACUUUUAUUUACGUAAUAAAUUACCA